AAAGGAGGACAACCUUGAAGAUCUUGCUUGGAGAAGCUUAGAUCGUUAUUAGGUUAGCUUAGGUUCUCUCAUUGGCUUGGGAGAACAAUUGCGCUAGGGGCCAUAACUGUUUCAUUGUGUAUGUAUGUUGAUGCAUGUGAAUGUAUGUGAAUGUAUGUUGAUGCAUGUGAGAGACGAUUUAUAUGAUAAACAAGUCGGUGAGAUCAGUAUAAUUGCAAUUCCCUCAAAAUUAAAUAUUAAGUUUAUGCUUUC
This 252-nucleotide long non-coding RNA is filed under the name Lathyrus oleraceus (garden pea). Its description in RNAcentral is "Pisum sativum (pea) long non-coding RNA (PSAT_LNC005159)". Lineage: Eukaryota; Viridiplantae; Streptophyta; Magnoliopsida; Fabales; Fabaceae. The record is from RNAcentral.